The sequence is a ribosomal RNA, 437 nucleotides long. It matches the Rfam family "Bacterial small subunit ribosomal RNA", at positions 341 to 792 of the family's 1533-position model.
ACGGGAGGCAGCAGUGGGGAAUAUUGGGUAAUGGGCGAACGCCUGACCCAGCAACGCCGCGUGAAGGAAGAAGGUCUUCGGAUUGUAAACUUCUUUUAUGAGGGACGAAGGACGUGACGGUACCUCAUGAAUAAGCCACGGCUAACUACGUGCCAGCAGCCGCGGUAAUACGUAGGUGGCAAGCGUUAUCCGGAUUUACUGGGUGUAAAGGGCGCGUAGGCGGGGAGACAAGUCAGGUGUGAAAUCUGUGGGCUUAACCCAUAAACUGCAUGUGAAACUGUAUCUCUUGAGUGCUGGAGAGGUAGAUGGAAUUCCUUGUGUAGCGGUGAAAUGCGUAGAUAUAAGGAUGAACACCAGUGGCGAAGGCGAUCUACUGGACAGUAACUGACGCUGGGGAGCGAAAGCGUGGGGAGCAAACAGGAUUAGAUACCCUGGUA